Molecule: long non-coding RNA, 8479 nt
Organism: Brassica rapa (field mustard)
Lineage: Eukaryota; Viridiplantae; Streptophyta; Magnoliopsida; Brassicales; Brassicaceae
Source: RefSeq, a predicted model, not a curated record
GAUAAAUAGACUUUAUUGUAGGUCUACGAAACCCUAAACCACAAAUCUCAAACCCUAAAUGUUUUGCUUGAUAAUCAAAAAGUCUCAUUUAUACAAAAUAUAAACUACUAAACAUUAAUAUGCAGAUUUAAGUUAAUAAAACAAAAAAAAAACAAAAUCUAAAAUCUAAUCCUUUGAAAUCAACUACUAAAAGACAUAACAUGUUAGAACCUUUUGUUUGUAAACUAUGAAUAUAGUUUAACACAUGAUAACCAAAUUAGUAUAUAUUCUUCAAAAUUGUUCGAUUAUAUGAAAUUUUAAUUUAUUUACUUCAUAUUAUCCAUUAUAUUGAUGAUUAGUUAAAAAUAUCACAAUAAUUAUUUUUAUACAUUUUUAAAAUUAAAUUAUUAGAUCAAAUUAGAGUGUAGACUACAAAACAAGUAUAUAAAGUAGACUUCGUAGGAAGUCUAUAUAUAUGUAGACUUCUUUUAUUACGUGUAGACUUCCAAAGGAUAGAAACGUAAAAUACAUUUCUGUUUUUUGUUUGGUCAUAAGGGUUAAAUAGUACUUUCACUAAUCUUUUAUGUUGGUUUUGCAUUUGACUGAAAGUGGGGUAUAUUUUUACAUUUGACUUGAAUAUUUGGGUUGGUUUUAGCAAAUGUCCCCAUAAUCGAGGAGCAGCCCAAGUAUUGAACGUCUUAGGUGUUCUCGAUCCUUCUAAAGUGAAUGGAUCAUUUUUUCCAGAUAUUCCAUCCACGAGGAUCAGCAAUUAAGUCUCAGUUGCCUGCUUAUUUUUUUAAAAAAAUUUAUUAGGUUUUUUAUAGCUUUCAAAUUAUCAUUGGUGUUUCUCGAAUAAUGCAUUGUUGAACUUUUAAACAUUUUAGUUGAUUUAAUAACGUUGGUCAUUUUGCUUUUAUGUUAUUAUAAAAUAUAUUUACUGAAACAAAUAACGCAUCUGAUAUUAUUAUAACAAAAUACUGCUCCAAAAUAUUUUCACCAAAAAUAUUGUUCAAAAAAUUGCAACAAAACAAUCACAACAACAUUCAGUAGGUAUUUUAUAUAUCAACUUUUGUAACUAUUUAAAUUGCUUCCACACGUCAUAACUAUUACAAAAUAUUUUAUAGACGUCUUGUUGCAUUAAUACUAUGAAAAUUGAAAUAGAAAUUAUUGCAAAUUAUGAAAAUUGAAAUAGAAAUUAUUGCAAAUUUGCUAUGUUGUUUGCUAUAUAUUUUCCUUAGCAAUGAUUUGCCACUAUUAAUGUCAUUGCACAAAUACAUUGUAAAUGUACAACAAAACUGUCACAAAACAAUUGUUGCAAUAAUAUGACAUAUAUAGCAACAACUCAAUUUGUUGCUAAUAUUGCUGCGUAUAUGCAACAAACACGAAUUUGCAACAUCCAAACAGCAAGAAGUUAAAAUUUGUCACAUUUUUAUUGCAAUUUUAUAUUUGCAACAAUAUAUUAGCAUAAUGCAACAAAAUAUCAUUAUUGCAAUAUGACAAUUUUCUUGUAGUUGAUCAACUGUUUGCAAUAAGCUAUCUUACAACACCCUCUGCAUUAUCCUCAUGGCCAACAUUGUAAAUUAGGUUUAUAUCUAGGCUGUACGAUGCCACAUGUCCAGUUUUGCCCAUAUGUCUAUGUGUGCACCUCUUGUUUUGCCCAUAUGUCUAUGUGAUUCACAAAGACGUUUAUUCAGGGUGAUUCCCUUGCUUCAGAUUAUGUUGUUUCUGAUUAAAUAGGAAAGACUAAACAUUUAGAUUUUAUUGUUUCAUUGGAUGUUUCUGAUUUUGACUUCUUAUGUUCCUCACAAUUGUUUUUUUUAUUUGAUGUAUGCAGCAUGUCUAGUUUUGCCCAUAUGUCCUUGCUGACGUGGACGCAUGAGGAGAGAGCAUAACCCAACUUUAUUAAUAUAGAUAGAUAGAUAGAUAGAUAGAUGGUAUAGUUAGAAUGCUUAGAAUUAGGAAAAAACAUAGUUAUAGUUAGGAAUGAAUAUUUGUAAAUGAAAAAGGAUAAGUCAUAUUCCAAAACGUAAAGUUGUGUUAGUUCGGUAGUAUAAAUUAUAUUUUUACUAAAAUUAAUUUGUAAAAGUUGGUUCAUUAAGUAGUAGAUGCUAUUUUUUAGAUUUCUUAAAAGAAUAGUAUAAAAAUUGAACAAUUAAGAAAAAAGACACAUUCAUAGAUGAUUCAUGAAAUAAAUAGAUGAAAAGAUAAAUCUUUAAAUAUUUAUUUGGACUAUUUAAAAGUAAAAUAAAUAUAAAUAACUAAUUAACAAAAUUAACUUCCGUUAAAACCUAAUUUUAAAGAUGAAAAGAUACAAUUAUAUAUAUAUAUAUAUAUAUAUAUAAUUUGGUAUUAUUAAUAAUUCUAUUAUUUAUUUUGGGGUUGAUAAUAAUUGAAUUACGCAUGAAAUUAUUUUCUUGAAAAGGCAUUUGAUAAAUAAAGUUUUCUUGUUUUAGGAUAAGUUACAAAAAUAACAAAUAAUAUUUCUCAUGUUUAUAUAUGUUACAGAAGAUCUUUGAUGAUCAUUUCGAAAAUGGAUAUCUCUCUCUCUCUCUAUCUAUCUAUCUCUCUCUCUCUCUCUCUCUCUCUCUCUCUCUCUCUCUCUCUCUCUCUCUCUCUCUCUCUCUCUCUCUCUCUCUCUCUCUCACUAUUAGUUUUCUAUUUUUAUUUGCCAAUACUUAUAAUUUCUAUAUAGAGAAUUGAGGGUUACAAUGAUUAACAACCAAACAUUAAAAUAGUUAACCAAUAGUUAUAAAGUCUACCAUCACCAAUAGAAACAAGAAUUAGCAUUAAAGUUAUGAUGGUUCAUCACUAAAGUCUACUAUUACAGAUAGUUGGAGUGUUCACUAAAUAGUAAUUACUUAUUGAUUGGGAUUAGUAAAAAUGAAAAGACACAAAUAUUCAUGUUAAAUGGUGUGUCUUAAAAAUGAUAUGGUUUUUCAUUAUCACAUUAAUUGAUGUGUCUUUUCACACAAAUAUUAAAUGAUGUGUUUUUCAUCUUAAGAAUUUAUUAGUUUUGAAAGAAAAAUAUCUAAAGAUGUAUCUUUUCAACAUACAAAUUGCUGAGAAUUUUAAAGAGUUAUCUUUCAUCUUAAGAUGUGUUUUUUAUUUAAAAAUUACAUAGAUAUUUAAGAGGUUAUAAGAAUGUCUGAAAUGUUGAUAUUCAUUCAAAAAUCCCAUAAGUUUUAAAAGUUACAAAUAUUAAAUGAUGUGUUUUUCAUCUUAAAAAUUUAUUAGUUUUGAAAGAAAAAUAUCUAAAGAUGCAUCUUUUCAUAAAGAUGUAUCUUUUCAACAUACAAAUUGCUGAGAAUUUUAAAGAGUUAUCUUUCAUCUUAAGAUGUUUUUUUUUUUUAAAUUACAUAGAUAUUUAAGAGGUUAUAAGAAUGUCUGAAAUGUUGAUAUUCAUUCAAAAAUCCCAUAAGUUUUAAUGAUUUUUAAUUCUAUUUUCAUAUCUAUUUAUAUAUUUUUUAAUUUUUUUUUUAAAAUGAUGUCUUUAUAUAUUUGCUUAAUUUGAUUUGUUGGGUAAUUUAAUUAUUUUAUAAUAUUAUAUAUUUUCAAAAUUUAGUAUAUGUUUUCAAUUAUAAUUUUUAGUUUCUAACAUGUUUUGGUGCCUCUUUGGCUGAUUUGGAACUCUCAACAUGUUUUGGUAUUUUGGAAUGGUAUCGACUUCUCAAAAAAAAAAAUUCAAGUUUAGUCUAAAAUACAAAAAAAAACAACAUUUAUCUUUAUGUGUUUUUUUUUCUUUUUAGUUUAUUUUGAUUAUUGUGACAUUUUUUGUUGUAAUUUGUUAAUACAUACAACUCAUUAAAUAGAGGAAUAAUGGUCGUUUAACACCAAAAAAGAAAAUUAUUUAUCACCAAAGAUCAUAAUCACCAACAAUUGCAAUGAUUUAUCACAUGCCAACCACUUGAAUACAAUUUUUUAUAUAAUGAACAAACACAUACUUCACGAGAAAUAACUCUUACAAAUUACACAAUUUAUAAGAUGAUAAGACAUAUCUUUAGACAUUUGAAAAACUCUAAAACUUAUUAAUUUUUAAGGAUGAAAAACACCUAUUAACAUUAAUUAAGAUUCAUCUUAUUAAUUUAUUUUUAUAAUGAAAAGAUACAAAUUUUAAAACUAAUAUAUUUUAGAGAAUGAAAACACACAUUCUUAGAUGUAAAAAAUAUAUUUUUAUGAUAAAAAUACAUACCUUAACUUUUCUUACACAUUUUCCAAUAGUUGCAUAUUGGAAAAAUAAACUAAUCUUAGUUUUUAAUGAAAAGACACAACUUUUAAUAUUAAUUGAAGUUCAUAUUAUUAGUUUACUUUUUAUUAAUUGAAAUUCCGACCAUAGCAUAUAUAUAUAUAGUUAAAGAAAAGUAAUAUACAUAGAACGAUGAUGAUUUGACUGCACUUUUAAGAAAUUACUAGAUCUCGACCCGCGCUACCGCGCGGGUGUUUAUUUUUAUUUAUUUUUAUAUAAAUAUUUUGUUUUUAAUUCUACAUUGGUGUAUAUUAGUAUAAUAUUAUAAGGUGUGUCUAUCACUUUUUAAAACAUAAUAAUUUUAUUGUAUAUUUUUUUUAUUGAAUUGGUUGUUUCAAGAUCACGUAUUUUUGCUUGAAAUUUUUUGAUAAUUAUUUAGUUCCUAUAAUGUAACAGACAUAUUAUUUAGUUCUUAUAAUCUAGAAAGUGAGUUAUUUAGAUCUAUAAUAAUGAUAAGAUUAGAAAUUAAAUGUAACAUGACUUUCUAGUAAUAGGUCCAUUAAGUCCAUUUUUUUAAAAAUCGCACAUGAGUCAAGGUUGUGACUUCUCUUUUAAUAUAUAAGAUAUAUGAAUUGUUAUCUUGAAAUUUCUAGUACAAAUGUGUAAACAGAUAAAUACCAGUCCAAUAUGUAAAAUAAAAGUAAGUUCGGAUAGUUUAUUGGAAAAAAGUUUCAAAAUUAAUUUGUUAUUAUUAUAUACUAUAUGAAAAUACACAAGUGUUAAAAAAAUGAUAUUUUUGAUAAAUAAAACUGGUUCUUAACGAAAAUAUAAAUGAAAAUAACUUAUAAUAAAGAAAUGAAAUUGUAAGACGUGUUUUUGACUUUUGUUUCAUAGAUAUCUAUAUCUAUAUAUAUAUACUAUACUAAAAGCCAAAUAUAGUGCAAGGAGAAGCAUGCCACAUCAAUUAAAAUAAUCCACCAAUCAGAAAUUUUCUUUUUGACAUGUCAUUUUACAGUUUGUGGGCUUUGAAUCUUGACUGUGUAGGUUUACAAAAAUAAUAUUCCGAAGCCCAACAUCAACUGUUCGCUCAAAUCAUCAUCUUUCUUCUCUUGCCGUCAUUUCCAUUUUUCCUUUCCACGAAAGGUCUGCCAUAACGUCUCCAUAAAAGUUUACACCUUCUUUUAAGUCCCUAUUAAAAGCUUAAUCCCACUUAUCCCACUAACCCGUAUUUAAUACACCUCAACCUUGCACUACUCACUUACAAUCACAUUCCUAUAAGUAGUCAUGCCUCUUUGCGUUAUUCUCAUCAGUACACGAAGAAUAUUGAUUCAUUGAAUUACAUAAGAGGAAGAUGCUGAAUAUGCAACUAAAAGUCUUAACGUGAAUACGCUUAAUGGAAAACCUAUACGUCUUAACAAGGUAUCAUCUUUGUUCCUAUAUCUUUGUUAAGCAUCAUAUUUUUUAUUUUAUGUUAUUUUUCUUAAAAAUUUACAUCAUACUUUUUAUUUGCUAGGAAAUUCUUGGGUUCUUGCAAGUUUUGGUGCAUAGACGUAUUUAAUUGCUCCUCUUAGGAGUUUGCUAAUAUUUUUUUCUCCUCAUUGUCAACAUGUAUUAUGUAACUAUUUAAGUGUAGUUACACCACAAUUAAUAAUGCUGAGUUUGUUUCUCGCCGUGAUGAAACCAAGGAGAGGAUAAGAGCUUCAAUGAAGCAAUUUUGGGCUGCAAGGUCAACAACCAAGCGAUUAAAGGAGAGCCUCACUUCGUUUUGGUCAAAAACAUUGCUGAAGCUGCAAUGGAAGAAUGAAGUUGUGAAUCAGAUUUUGAUUGGGACUUUUAAAAAGCUAAAUAAGAGAUUUCACCUGAGCUGAAGAUUAAAUUGGCUGAGGAAAAAGUAAGAACUAAGAACAAAGGAACACAACAAAAUGAGAGAAAAAAAUCUGCACUUCCCAAGACGGAGAAAAUGAGGAGAGUUGUAGAAAGAAAAAAGAGCAUCAAGAGAGAGACCAAAGAUAAGAUCAUUCUCCAAUUUCCAUACCUGGAUGAUAUAAUAGAAUAUGUCACUAAUAUACAUAAGAUAUUUCUACAAUUUUUUUAGAGUGUGGUUUGCAACUGAUUGAACUUAUUUAACACCAACAUAAAUGGUUCCAAUAAAACCUUCAAAAAGGUUAAUUUUGAGAAAAGAGAUUCUCGAGAUUAAUAAAAAAGCACAGAAAUGUACAAAAGGAUACUGAGCAUAAAGAUACUUUAAGUUAGAUGAAAAAUAUAAAUAAUUCUUCAAAGAUGGCUAGAGAAAAGCACUCUACAAUGCUUGAAGAAAAUCAACUUGCUCAUCGAGAUUAUUUUAGUGGAGAAGAAUAACUAUUAGGCUUGAACAACAAAACAAAACUAAACUAAAAACGAACAAAGCUAAAAAAAAACUAUAAAUAUGAAUACAUCAGUUGUAUUAUAAAAAUGUAAAAAGAACAGGAAAAACAGGUAACUACACAUUAGAUUGCAUAGUGCCAUAUUCAACGUGUAGGGGAGGAUUUUUGCGCGAGAGUUUAAUUAAAUAAUUUGACCCCUCUAUGGCUCUAUAUAUGUAUGUGUUUUCACACUUAUGGCAAUCAAUUAUUGUCAAAGAAAAAAAGAACCAAAUUCGUUAGUUUUUUUUUUCUUUUUGAGUUUUGUCAUAUUUUUUUUUUGUAAUAGUCGGGAACUACAUGGACAUUUGAAUGCAAGAAUAACACAUAAAUGCAGGUUGUAUAUCAUACAACUAGGUAAUAACCCGUGCCUUAUGCGGAAUAUGAUUAUUAGUUUCGUUUUUUUAAUAAGGAGACAUUAAUUUGUUUAAUCUAGAUAUCGGUUCGGUUUUAGUUUUUUUUUUUUUUUAAUCUCCUAAAAUAUAACUAUCAUUUUAAAUCAAUAUUUAUUUGAUUUAUUCAGUUAAAAUGUUUGCGGUUUUUUUUUUCCUGUGAUAAUCAAAAGUUACUAUUAUUUGUUUAUUUUCAAUGUUAUGAAUCUUAGAUAGUUGUGAUGUCGAACCAAUGGUUUCAUAUUAUAGUUUCUAAACGGAUAAUAGUUUAAAAAAUAAAAUUAUUAAAACAAAUUAUUUUACUACAAUUUGGUCGAUAGUGAAAAAAGCAUUAAGAAAAAAAUAUUUUAACGUCCUAAAAAAAUUAGAUAUUUCAGUUGUGGUAAAUACUUACUUAUAUUUCAGUUGAGACACGUCCUCUUUCUGAGCUUGGUAUGCUCUAUGUAUGGACCAAAAACACAAAAAAAAACAUGUAACUUAUUAAGCAAAAUUUUAAAUUUAAAAACCACAUGACAUAAAUUAUAGUAAAAGUAAAUUAAUUACAAACCAAUUAAAACAUUAAGAAAAAUACAUGUUAGGUUAUUAAAAUAAAUUAGUACAAUUACCCCCACACAAAUUAGAUGUGAUAUAACAAACACAUGUUAGAUUAUUAAAAUAAAUUAGUACACAUGUGUUGUACUUAUGCAAAUUAUAUAAGUAAAUUUAAUAUAAACACACACAAAAAUUAUUUUAUCAUGUUCAGUUAAAAUUAGCAUGUGUAAAUCUCUCAGUUAUAUCCCAUGUUCAGGUUAGUGGGAGAAAUAAAAGAUACAAGUGAUAGAAAGCAAAAAGAAGACCCACUCCAUGCUAUUGCUUUCGAAACUAAGCUUGGAGUUCAGUUAUAUAAUGCACGAGUUCAUGCUAACUUAUAUCAAUUAAUCAAGUUUUUGUUCAGAUAAAGAGAAAUCUAUUGGUGAUUUUUUGUCUUUCCUUCUAUAAACAUUUUUCAUAAGAGUUAAUGGACUACAUAUUCUUUUCCAAUGAAUUUUCAUCUUCAGUAGUAUUCUAUACAUGUUAUGAGAGUAUUUAUAUUGAGAACCUUAAGUCUAGAUUAGUUAACUCUAGCACCUUUAAUAAAAUUUAUUAUGGUCAUUUUCUUCACUGAAGUCUAUUUUUAUGACAAAAAACUUUAAAAAAUCAUCAUAUAGAAUUUCUCUAUCUCUUAUCUGAUAUGACAAUAAUAUAAAAAAUCAAUUUAUUUUCAUCUAAUUUAUUACUAUAGAAGUGAUUUGGUUUGUGGUCUAAAUUAUAAAAAGCUAUUAAAAGUACAUGCAAAUAAAAUAGGGAUUGGGAAUACAUUUAUAUUGCAUAAUCCGCGCGUAGCGCGGACAAAAUAUCUAGUUUCUUUGAGAAUUGAACAUAUAUAAAACUCUAGGUAUCUACAUCAUUUUUAUUUGUCUCUAACCAACAAUUGAAUAUGUUUCCGUGAGAUAACAAAUAAGUACCAUCGGUAUGAAAAAAAAAAAACAAAUAAGUACCAUCGCCAC